RNAcentral lists this ribosomal RNA (216 nucleotides) under uncultured bacterium. RNAcentral's name for it is "partial 16S ribosomal RNA". It matches the Rfam family "Bacterial small subunit ribosomal RNA", at positions 118 to 351 of the family's 1533-position model. The record is from RNAcentral.
UGGGAACCUUCCCUAUGGUUCGGAAUAGCUCAGGGAAACUUGGGGUAAUACCGGAUAAGCCCUUCGGGGGAAAGAUUUAUCGCCAUUGGAUGGGCCCGCGUCGGAUUAGCUAGUUGGUGAGGUAACGGCUCACCAAGGCAACGAUCCGUAGCUGGUCUGGGAGGAUGAUCAGCCACACUGGGACUGAGACACGGCCCAGACUCCUACGGGAGGCAG